RNAcentral lists this ribosomal RNA (907 nucleotides) under uncultured bacterium. RNAcentral's name for it is "bacterial SSU rRNA". It matches the Rfam family "Bacterial small subunit ribosomal RNA", at positions 55 to 959 of the family's 1533-position model. The record is from RNAcentral.
AUGCAGUCGAACGAAGCUUGACGGAUGAUUUCUUCGGAAUGAAACCUGAUAUGACUUAGUGGCGGACGGGUGAGUAACACGUGAGCAACCUGCCUUUCAGAGGGGGAUAACGGCUGGAAACGGUCGCUAAUACCGCAUGACGUGUUCGGAUGGCAUCAUCUGAACAUCAAAGAUUUAUCGCUGAAAGAUGGGCUCGCGUCUGAUUAGAUAGUUGGUGGGGUAACGGCCUACCAAGUCUACGAUCAGUAGCCGGACUGAGAGGUUGAACGGCCACAUUGGGACUGAGAUACGGCCCAGACUCCUACGGGAGGCAGCAGUGGGGAAUAUUGCACAAUGGGGGAAACCCUGAUGCAGCAACGCCGCGUGAAGGAUGACGGUUUUCGGAUUGUAAACUUCUUUUCUUAGUGACGAAGACAGUGACGGUAGCUAAGGAAUAAGCAUCGGCUAACUACGUGCCAGCAGCCGCGGUAAUACGUAGGAUGCAAGCGUUAUCCGGAUUUACUGGGUGUAAAGGGAGCGCAGGCGGGACUGCAAGUUGGAUGUGAAAUACCGUGGCUUAACCACGGAACUGCAUCCAAAACUGUAGUUCUUGAGUGAAGUAGAGGCAAGCGGAAUUCCGAGUGUAGCGGUGAAAUGCGUAGAUAUUCGGAGGAACACCAGUGGCGAAGGCGGCUUGCUGGGCUUUAACUGACGCUGAGGCUCGAAAGUGUGGGGAGCAAACAGGAUUAGAUACCCUGGUAGUCCACACUGUAAACGAUGAUAGCUAGGUGUGGGGGGUCUGACCCCUUCCGUGCCGGAGUUAACGCAAUAAGCUAUCCACCUGGGGAGUACGACCGCAAGGUUGAAACUCAAAGGAAUUGACGGGGGCCCGCACAAGCAGUGGAUUAUGUGGUUUAAUUCGACGCAA